CGGAGGGUGCAAGCGUUAUCCGGAUUCACUGGGUUUAAAGGGUGCGUAGGUGGGCAAGUAAGUCAGUGGUGAAAUCUCCGGGCUUAACCCGGAAACUGCCAUUGAUACUAUUUGUCUUGAAUACUGUGGAGGUCAGCGGAAUAUGUCAUGUAGCGGUGAAAUGCUUAGAUAUGACAUAGAACACCAAUUGCGAAGGCAGCUGGCUACACAAAUAUUGACACUGAGGCACGAAAGCGUGGGGAUCAAUCAGGAUUAGAUACCCUGGUAGUCCACGCCCUAAACUAUGGAUACUCGACAUUUGCGAUAAACUGCAAGUGUCUGAGCGAAAGCAUUAAGUAUCCCACCUGGGAAGUACGAUCGCAAGAUUG
Molecule: ribosomal RNA, 368 nt
Filed under: uncultured organism
Description: bacterial SSU rRNA
Rfam family: Bacterial small subunit ribosomal RNA
Source: RNAcentral